CCUACGGGAGGCAGCAGUGAGGAAUAUUGGACAAUGGACGAGAGUCUGAACCAGCCAAGUAGCGUGAAGGAAGACGGCUCUAGGGGUGGUAAACUCUUUUUAUAUGGGAAUAAAAUGUUCCACGUGUGGGAUUUUGUAUGUACCAUAUGUAUAAGGAACGGCUAACUACGUGCCAGCAGCCGCGGUAAUACGGAGGGUGCGAGCGUUAAUCGGAAUUACUGGGCGUAAAGCGCUCGUAGGCGGUAUGUCAAGUCACAUGUGAAAUCCACGCGCUCAACGUGGGAACUGCAUAUGAAACUGGCAAACUGGAGUGUAUGAGAGGAUAGUGGAAUUCCAGGUGUAGGAGUGAAAUCCGUAGAUAUCUGGAGGAACAUCAGUGGCGAAGGCGACUAUCUGG
Molecule: ribosomal RNA, 397 nt
Filed under: uncultured bacterium
Lineage: Bacteria
Description: partial 16S ribosomal RNA
Rfam family: Bacterial small subunit ribosomal RNA
Source: RNAcentral